AACGAUGAAACUCUUUUGACCGUUAUCGCCGAAGCCGAAGAGAUCGUUAACUGCAGACCAUUGGUCUACAUGCCGCAAGAAUCAACGGAUGCCGAGGCACUCACGCCCAACCAUUAAUUGCGUGGUACCGUUACAGAGUUGAAGGAUCCUUGCAUCGCACCAACACGUCAGGCUGAAGCGCUUCGAAGCACUUACCAAAGGUCUCAGUACAUCGCCGAUGAACUAUGGAAGCGGUGGCUAAAAGAAUAUGUCCCUUCGAUGAACGUGCACACCAAAUGGCUGGAAGACUCGAAACCACUUAAGGUAGGCGACCUAGUAUUCAUCACAGACGAUCAGAAUCGCAAUGGAUGGGUCCGAGGGCGAGUGGACAAAGUCAUCGCAGGCAAGGAUGGCCGUGUGAGACAAGCAGAAGUUCACACUUCCGGUGGGCUGUUCCGGCGACCAGUAGCUAAACUUGCAGUCAUCGAGAUCGGGUCAUCAGGUAAAUCUGACCAGGAAGCAGGUUCUGGACGAGGUUUACGGGUCGGGGAAAUGUUGAAACCACUGGGCACCGAAACCCAAGUGGCCAAAUUAACUUCAUCUGAGUGACAGCAGCCCUGGCAACCGGAAAACAGUUAGAGCAAGAAACGUCAAAGUAAGCCAUUCAUUUCCGAACAUUCGAGAACCAAGAAAAAUCAAGACUGGUUGUGAAUUUUUAAAAGAGUCUAGUUAUUGAUUUUGUGACUAUUAUUUGAACUGAAACUUAAUAAGUAGAACACGAUUUUAGUUAGCGCGUGAUUUCUAAAACCGUAGCGAAAAACUUAUGCAGAGGCAACUUAGAAUCCAGGCACGUUUCUCGUAGUAGGAGUAAAAAACUAAAUCUGUAUGUAAUACAAAAAAAAACACUUACCUUACAUUCUCAAACUAAAAAUAAAAUCAUAUUUUUCCAGUUUGAGCAGAUUCAAACCGAACUGCUACAGAAGGAGUU
RNA transcript from Toxorhynchites rutilus septentrionalis, 967 nucleotides. RefSeq lists it as uncharacterized. The record is from RefSeq and is a predicted model, not a curated record. Lineage: Eukaryota; Metazoa; Arthropoda; Insecta; Diptera; Culicidae. The transcript is spliced from 2 exons.